UAAUACAGAGGCCACGAGCGUUAGGCGGAAUCACUGGGCUUAAAGCGUGUGUAGGUGGAUGGCUAAGUACCUUGUGAAAUCCCACGGCUCAACCGUGGAACUGCUUGGUAUACUGGUCGUCUUGAGGCACUCAGGGGCGAGCGGAACAGAUGGUGGAGCGGUGAAAUGCGUAGAUAUCAUCUGGAACGCCAAUGGUGAAGACAGCUCGCUGGGGGUGUACUGACACUGAGACACGAAAGCCAGGGGAGCGAACGGGAUUAGAUACCCCGGUAGUCCUGGCCCUAAACAAUGUCCACUAGGUUGUGGCACCACUGACGGUGUCAUGGCCGAAACGAAAGCGUUAAGUGGACCGCCUGGGAAGUACGGUCGCAAGGCUA
RNAcentral lists this ribosomal RNA (377 nucleotides) under uncultured bacterium. RNAcentral's name for it is "bacterial SSU rRNA". It matches the Rfam family "Bacterial small subunit ribosomal RNA", at positions 521 to 896 of the family's 1533-position model. The record is from RNAcentral.